This 240-nucleotide unclassified non-coding RNA is filed under the name soil metagenome. Its description in RNAcentral is "partial contains 5.8S ribosomal RNA, internal transcribed spacer 2, and large subunit ribosomal RNA". The record is from RNAcentral.
AACCUUAUGGACCUGCGGGCGUAUACCUGCGGAAGGAUCAUUACAGAGUUGCAAGACUCCCUAAACCAUUGUGAACCUACCUUCUACCGUUGCUUCGGCGGGCGGGCCCAGCGCCCCCCCGGCCCCCCGCGGGCGCCCGCCGGAGGAUACCCAAACUCUUGACAUUAGUGGCCUCUCUGAGUAUUCUUUACUGAAUAAGUCAAAACUUUUAGCAACGGAUCUCAGAUCGGAAGAGCACAC